Molecule: ribosomal RNA, 418 nt
Filed under: uncultured bacterium
Lineage: Bacteria
Description: bacterial SSU rRNA
Rfam family: Bacterial small subunit ribosomal RNA
Source: RNAcentral
UGGGGAAUAUUGGACAAUGGGCGAAAGCCUGAUCCAGCAAUGCCGCGUGUGUGAAGAAGGCCUUCGGGUUGUAAAGCACUUUAGUGGGGGAAGAAGGCCACGCAAGUGGAUUGACGGUACCCCAAGAAUAAGCACCGGCUAACUCUGUGCCAGCAGCCGCGGUAAUACAGAGGGUGCGAGCGUUAAUCGGAAUGACUGGGCGUAAAGGGCGCGUAGGUGGAUGUGUGUGUUGGAUGUGAAAGCCCCGGGCUUAACCUGGGAAUUGCAUACAAAACUGCACAUCUAGAGUAGAGCAGAGGUGAGUGGAAUUUCCGGAGUAGCGGUGAAAUGCGUAGAUACCGGAAGGAACACCAGUGGCGAAGGCGACUCACUGGGCUCAAACUGACACUGAGGCGCGAAAGCGUGGGGAGCAAACAGG